RNAcentral lists this ribosomal RNA (481 nucleotides) under uncultured bacterium. RNAcentral's name for it is "SSU rRNA". It matches the Rfam family "Bacterial small subunit ribosomal RNA", at positions 26 to 518 of the family's 1533-position model. The record is from RNAcentral.
AGAUUGAACGCUGGCGGCAUGCCUAACACAUGCAAGUCGAACGGCAGCACAGCAGAGCUUGCUCUGUGGGUGGCGAGUGGCGGACGGGUGAGUAAUGCAUCGGGACCUACCUGAACGUGGGGGAUAACCUCGGGAAACCGGGACUAAUACCGCAUACGUCCUACGGGAGAAAGCGGGGGACCUUCGGGCCUCGCGCGGUCAGACGGACCGAUGUGCGAUUAGCUAGUUGGUAAGGUAAUGGCUUACCAAGGCGACGAUCGCUAGCUGGUCUGAGAGGACGAUCAGCCACACUGGGAUUGAGAACGGCCCAGACUCCUACGGGGGGCAGCAGUGAGGAUUUAAACGUCAAUGGGGGCAACCCUGAACGAGCAACGCCGCGUGCAGGAAGAAGGUUUUCGGAUCGUAAACUGCUUUUCGUCGGGGAAGAGGAACGGACGGUACCCGAGGAAUCAGCCCCGGCUAACUACGUGCCAGCAGCCGC